GUUUUCUUAGUAUAAUUAGUACAAGUGACUUCCAAUCACUCAGUCUUGGUUCAACCCCAGGAGAAAAUA
RNAcentral lists this transfer RNA (69 nucleotides) under Ptychadena mascareniensis (Masarene ridged frog). RNAcentral's name for it is "tRNA-Gly". It matches the Rfam family "tRNA". From Rfam's summary of the family: Transfer RNA (tRNA) molecules are approximately 80 nucleotides in length. Their secondary structure includes four short double-helical elements and three loops (D, anti-codon, and T loops). Lineage: Eukaryota; Metazoa; Chordata; Amphibia; Anura; Ptychadenidae. The record is from RNAcentral.